AUGAAUUUUAUGAGCACAUAUUUAGAUGUUUUUAGAUAUAUGUUUUAAUGAACAAUUAUUAGUAAUAAUGAAAAUUAUUUUAUUUUUUAUAACAUUGCAACAUUUGAUAUAGGAGAGAACAUGCGUAAAUAGAUGUAAAUAGCUGUUAAGUUGUAUACUGAAAUAAAAUAUCUCGUCAUCUCUACAAUACUUAUCGUUUUUAUACUUGAAAUAUAUGUAGAUAUCAAUUGUAUCUUACACUAAAGAAUUUGUUAUCAAUGGAUGGUGCUCUGGUUGUGAUAAUAUGAACAUAUGUAUAUGAACACAAAUAAUUACAAGCAAGCAAGCGGUUAACCGAUUAUUAUGAAGCAAUACAAGUACAAUAUUUACAAUGAUAAAAACAAAGUAGCCAAAGUGUAUAUGUUGGAACGGUUUCUACAUUAUUAUCUAAUACAUUUUUAACACAGAUUUGUCCUUUGUUUUGCAUAUGUCUUUCCGAAAAAAAAUCAGAAUCUUUAAUUGAAAUUUGUUAUUGUAUCGUAACCAAACAUGUAAUUUUCAUGGAAUUAAUUAUGUCUAUGAUUCCGCCUUGAUCAGAAGAUACAUUUACCGUAUUUUUUAACUAAAAUGCAAUUAUUUAAAAAAAUAACUUGUUUGAAA
RNAcentral lists this long non-coding RNA (639 nucleotides) under Mytilus galloprovincialis (Mediterranean mussel). Lineage: Eukaryota; Metazoa; Mollusca; Bivalvia; Mytilida; Mytilidae. The record is from RNAcentral.